Beauveria bassiana D1-5 is the source of this 73-nucleotide transfer RNA. It matches the Rfam family "tRNA". From Rfam's summary of the family: Transfer RNA (tRNA) molecules are approximately 80 nucleotides in length. Their secondary structure includes four short double-helical elements and three loops (D, anti-codon, and T loops). Further hydrogen bonds mediate the characteristic L-shaped molecular structure. tRNAs have two regions of fundamental functional importance: the anti-codon, which is responsible for specific mRNA codon recognition, and the 3' end, to which the tRNAs corresponding amino acid is attached (by aminoacyl-tRNA synthetases). tRNAs cope with the degeneracy of the genetic code in two manners: having more than one tRNA (with a specific anti-codon) for a particular amino acid; and 'wobble' base-pairing, i.e. permitting non-standard base-pairing at the 3rd anti-codon position. NCBI's taxonomy places the organism in Eukaryota, Fungi, Ascomycota, Sordariomycetes, Hypocreales, Cordycipitaceae. The record is from Rfam.
GAGGAAUUAGUUCAAUUGGUAGAGCAUUUGUUUUACACACAAAAAGUUGUAGGUUCGAAUCCUGCAUUCCUUA